Long non-coding RNA from Nycticebus coucang (slow loris), 1674 nucleotides. RefSeq lists it as uncharacterized. The transcript has 3 exons. Lineage: Eukaryota; Metazoa; Chordata; Mammalia; Primates; Lorisidae. The record is from RefSeq and is a predicted model, not a curated record.
UCAAGCAAAAUACCUUUCAACCCCGGAUCUUGUACCCAGCUAAACUGAGUUUCAUUUAUGACGGAGAAAUCAAACAUCUUUAAACAAAAACACACGCAUAUUUUGAGAUAGUCUAAUGUCCUUAAUAUUCUAGUUCUCUUAACCAUCCAAAAACAUUUAACUUCAUUUUGAUUCAUCUUACCCAUAUUGAUAAGGCACAGCUUACAUAAAUCAAAAAUCUUGGACUCACGAGGUAGAUCAAAGUUGCUCCUAAAACACAUAUUCAAACCAUAAACAUUAUUAAAUAGUAAAUCGAUAUAUAUCAUAUAUAUUCAUUUAUUUAAAGGAAAUUUUGCCACUAACUCAGAGUAAAUAAAAUGCUGUUUAGCAUGGAUUUGCUUUUAGAGAGUAGCCCAGUGCUGAAUAAAAAUACAGGCAAGUUAAGGGACUCACAAGGCAUUUGUUUUGUUUUUCUUUGCCACAAAGCAAUCUUCAAUCAUUUGUCCUGCAGUGACCCCUGGGGAAAUGUUCAAUCAUCUCUCUUAUCCCAAGUCUAGAGACAGAGAAGUAAGCAAGCCAUUGCCACUGCCACAAUUUUUACCCCCAUCUCUCUGCGUAUCUACACAAGCUUUACAGGAAGCAGCCCAGGGAGUGAUGGAAGGACACACAGGUGGCAGCCAGUGCCCCCUGGCAGGCAGAACAAGGACUUUCAGUGAAGUUUUCCCCUGAGUUACAGGAGGAUUAGGAGAGAUGGCUCUCUAGAUUGGGAGAACAGGGGUGUGUGCAAAGGUCUAGAGGAAAGGGAAAGCAUACUGCAAAUGAGAAAAUCCAGAAGUUGGGGUGGAAAGUCCAGUAGUUAGAGGAGGCUGAGAAAGGGCAGGCAGAAACAAGUCCACGGACAUUCCCCUUCACCCAGCAGGACAGGGCCAGAGUACCCAAGGAUCUCGCAGCUCUCUGUGGACUCCUAGCUUCAGGGCCUCCUCUCCUGCCCUGUCAGCACAGCCACUGCCAGCACAUCCACACGGGAGCUGCAACCACAGCCUGCUCAGGGCCAGUCACUGACAUCCCAGCCUUCCUGGUCUCCUCCUGCAACCUCGAGUGUGUCUUCCUGGUUUUCGAGAGCCCCAGUGACAGCCCUCUUCACCUACUCCCACCACCUGCCAUCUCCCUCUAUCACUACAUUGUCUAUGGAAGCUACCACCAGGUCAGACCCGGACCCUGAGAGCUGUGGAAGUGACCUAGACAUUCCUACUGGGAUUCAGAUAACAGGCUGAGUCCUCAGUACGAAGCCAUCGAAGUGACACAGAGCACAACAAGAAACAUAAAUUGACUCUUUUAAAUUAAUUCUUAAUGCAUGGAUAGAUUCUCUUUAUAAAAAUUCAAACAAUGCAGAUAAGGACAAACUCCUUUGGCCACCGUCUUGAUCCUCAAGCCUUCCCCAGAGGUGAGCACUGUGCUUAGAGUGGACUCCAUCCUUCCAUGCCUUGUCCUAGAAAAGCAUACCUAUUAAUUUCGGUUUGCAAAAAUGGACUCAUAUCCUACAUACUAUUUUUACAAAAUAUUCUCUACAUGUUGGCCACCUUUUUGUAAAAAUUUAUAAUGAAUAUUUUGCAAAUAAAGGUACAUUUAGGUACAGUUACUCAUUUUCCCUAAGUGUGGUGACUAUAGUAGGGGCAACUUUUGGGACACUGUGUA